AAGCGCCUGCGCGCCUAUCGAUUCCGUGGGUUCCCGCAGGAACACCGGACGCAACGCCUUGCUUCCUGCGUAUCAUUCUAGUCAGAACACUACAAUGUCCUUGGCUCGCGAUCCUUUUGCCGAAGAUUGGAAUUUUUUUCUUAACCGAGUCGAGGAAAGCUUCGCAAAACUCCGAAAUUGCACGGAAGCUUUUUGAAAACAUUCUCAGAGAUGCGAAACUUCCGAUUAGACUCGUCGACGAACAAGCCAAUAGUCCUGUUUGCAACCACGAUUGCGUGUAUUCGCAUCCCCUGCAGCAAUCACAUUACAAAAAGGUGGGACUUCGAGCUCGGCUCGAGAGGGAUGACACGUGUCGAGCGAAGUGAUUCGACGAUCAUUCAAAUGCGGCACUGUCAAUCGGUAUGAUUAAUAAUAUAUAAAGAAAUUCAUCAUAUUAUCUACAUUAUUAAAAUAGGGGGGAUAAUUGCUUUAUUAAUAUCAAUUGUAGUGUUGUAUUUUUUACCUUUAUAUAAGAUAUUAGUUCAGUCUUUAAGAUUUUAUCCUUUUAGACAGGUUGUUUAUUGGAUAUUUAUUAAUAUUUUUAUUAUAUGUUGACAUAAGCUAGGGCGCAGGUUAUUAAGGUUCUUUAUGUAAUUAUUAGACAAUUUCUUUCAGUAAUAUAUUUUAUAUUUUUUAUUAUAAUAUAUUGAACACGAUAUGUAUACUAUAAUAUAUAAACACCGAUAAAUUUUAUAUAAUGCGAUGAACUGCAACUUUCUAUUUUUUUACUCGCAAUAAAAGAAUAGCAUUCUUUCUUACUGUCAAUUGAUUAUUGAUCCACAGAUUAUUAAUCUAUUUGUAUACUUUGUAUAAUUAAUAUAUUUGAAUUACAUAUA
Long non-coding RNA from Monomorium pharaonis (pharaoh ant), 875 nucleotides. RefSeq lists it as uncharacterized. The transcript has 2 exons. NCBI's taxonomy places the organism in Eukaryota, Metazoa, Arthropoda, Insecta, Hymenoptera, Formicidae. The record is from RefSeq and is a predicted model, not a curated record.